This 3509-nucleotide long non-coding RNA is filed under the name Medicago truncatula (barrel medic). RNAcentral's name for it is "long non-coding RNA (MTRU_LNC001595)". Lineage: Eukaryota; Viridiplantae; Streptophyta; Magnoliopsida; Fabales; Fabaceae. The record is from RNAcentral.
CUGUGACUAGCAUGCUGACUUCUUCUGCUUGCUUCUGUUGCUUCUCUUGGUUCUCACACUCAUCUACAUCGAUGAAUAUUAGAUGACACAAAUCUUCCUUAGCAUGUACAUUCUUCUUCCUUUCUGGUGAGGGAAUGAGUGAGUGAAUAGUACCAGAGUUCCUUGUGAGCUUGGAAAAAUCCGUUUUGUAGACAGAUCACAAAGUCACAUACUCUUAAUUUGUCUCUGAGUCGGUUUUGGAUUGCCUCGUCUUUUUGGGUGCUUGAGAAACUUUCUCAUCACCUUUCCUCUUAACCUCGACUUUCUUUAACUUCUUUGUUGGAGGAGAUGUUGUGACUUUGGAUGAUUUCCUCUUAUUCUUCUUGUUGUCUGCAGUUUCUGAGUCACCAGGAGUUUAAUCCGGAAAGAACUAAUCCGCAACUAAUUACUAAUAUUUUUCAUUGAAAAAAAAUAAUUUUAAAUAAGACUGGUACCUUGGUCUGUUGUAAAUUUGUAAGAACUAAUUUGACAGACAAUGAUAUAACUCAAAGACUAAUUUAUUUGUAAGUGCAAUAAUUUUGUUACUAAUUUUUGACCGUAAAUAACACACAAGUUAGCAGAAGGACCAAGUUGUUCAAUAUAAUUCAAAAUGUGAUUGUUUUUGCCAUGGCAUCCCCCAGUUUUUCUAUAAUUACACAAGAUUCCCUUUGUCUCGAUGGUUAGGAAGUACAAUUUUCUUUUGGAUGUCUCGUGUCUGAGUCCUAAUUCCCCUCAUUUUUAUAUUUCUAUUAUAUUAUAUUUUAAAUUUUAUUAAAAAAAUGUUCUUGAGGGGGAAUCGAACACGCACCACUACACUGAAUUCUAGCAAAAAACUGACCCCUAGACCGGUUACUGAUCUGAAGAAUAUUAUGAAACAACUAAACAUAUAUUCCAUAAAUUUUGGCACCCCCAAGAUAAAAACUCAAGAUCCGCCAUUGCCUAACUCAAGGUCCUAAAUACGCCACUACCAUUAACUAUAAUUAAUAAGAGUGUUUUAGAAAAUGAAACAUAUUUUGAACAUAUUUCUUAUCAUUUCUUUAACAAUUAUGUAAAACUCAAAAGGAACCCUUAAUUUGAGACAGAGGAUAUAUAAUAAUCGAUGAAGUUUAAUAUCUGCAAAAAAGUGUUAUUAAGUGAAGUAAACUUAACAAGGGUGACACUUGUUUUCUUUUGGUAAGGUGUGGGAGCACUCUUGACUGAGUUUCUAUUUUUUUUUUUUAUAUUCUUUUGAAAGUUGUAGUGGUGUAAUUGGGUGGUUAGUUGAAGUAAUUUUCGUUUUGGUUCUUGCUUGAUCUAUUUUGCAUUGUGAAAUUUCAAUUCUUAGUUUGCUUUCUACAUUGACGGAGUUGCUAAGUUGCAAUCAAACUUUUGAGUGUGUAUUAAUUAUAACAGUAAGAGUGUUGCUAGCACUACUCUUAUAUAAAAUCAGAUGUAUUUUUAAAUUUAUUUAUUUAUUUUUUUUUUUUUAAUUUCUACGAAAGUGGUGCACUUUUCCAUGAAUAUGCUUUUAGUGCAACUCCUUACCAAUGUAGUCAAACAAUUUCUUAAAACUCAUUGUUAUUAGUCAUUUCGAAACAAUGUAUUCACCAAGACAAAGGAGUGGGUGGAAGGAUAAUGGGUGCAUGCACAAUCAAGAAAAAGUUAGGUGAACAUUACAAUCAAAAUAUAUAGCAUAGAGCAUCAAAAUUUAUCGUAUGAAACAAUGUUUUUCUAAAAUAUGAAUGUGAACAAAUAACCCUUCAACUCAUAAGAUGAUCUUUAAUAUAUAGAAUUAGAAAGUUAGAGUAUCAGUACACCGAAAUUUAUAUAUUCAAAAGUGAGGCGUAGUUGGUUUUCCUCUUUAUGUAGUAUAGUUCGGUUUUUCCAUUUUAUUAUGGUACUUAUUCCUAUCAAAUUGAUAAAUCAGCUUUAUCUUAUAAUUGAUUUAACUAAUGAUGACUUGAACAUCAAUAUUAUAUAUUCGGAUAUACGAGUACUUCAUCGUGCUCUUAAUUUAGAGAUGUUUUGAGUUUGUUUACAAAUUGAAUCUUUGAAUUUUAGACAUAGAACUUGUACUCUUUUAGAUAUAAUAUACCGAUUUGAAUGGAUAAAUACCGUAAUUCCAAACAUAUAUUUUUUUUUCACACACAUACCUCAUCCAUUACGAAACGCAGGAACUAAAGCUAUAUAAUAUAGUGAAGCUAAUUUAAUAAAAAAUAUAUAUAUUUGGUGAUGCUAAACUCAGUCUAACUUAAUGCCAGUUCAAAAGGAACACUGUGGUAUGGAGGAAUUCUUUGUUUUGCAUUUAUAAAUGGCAACUAUACCCUAUUAAUCAUCAUCAUAAAAAUAAUUUUUAUAAUGUAUGAGACCAAGUUUCACGUCUCUAUUAUUUUUCAUCAUUUUUUAGAAUUGUACGAUCUUGUACCAGAUCUUCGUUUAGUUAUGAUGAUAGCAACCACUCUCACUGAAAAAUUAUAUAAUAACAUUUUUUUGGCAUAUUUAAUUACUGAUCCUGUCGGUGUAUUAUUGUAAAAUUAGGCAAUUUGUCCAAUCAAUUCACACAUAAUUUCAAACCUGGCAACUAUAUAAAAACAAAAUCAUAGGUAAAUAAUGUAGAAAAUCACCAACAACCCUUGAAUUUUGUUACAAGAAAGGGCCAAGUCAUCACCUUAUCAAGAUUGUGAGUGGAUUCACAAAGAUCACGACUAGUAUAAAAGGAGGAAGUCACUCUUGUGUUUUCUGCACCAAACUCAUAAGUCACUAACAUGGCUUCCUCAAACUUCCUAGUGCUGCUUCUUUUUGCUCUAUUUGCCAUUCCUCAGGGUCUUGCCAAUUAUGAGAAGCCUCCGGUUUACCAACCACCGGUGUAUAAGCCACCAGUUGAGAAACCCCCGGUCUACAAACCCCCUGUAGAAAAGCCACCAGUAUAUAAGCCACCAGUAGAGAAGCCUCCAGUUUACAAACCACCGGUGUACAAGCCACCUGUGUACAAACCCCCAGUAGUGAAACCCCCAGUCUACAAACCUCCUGUUUACAAGCCACCGGUGUACAAGCCACCAGUUUACAAACCACCAGUAGAGAAGCCCCCAGUUUACAAGCCACCUGUAUACAAACCCCCAGUAGUGAAACCCCCAGUCUACAAACCUCCUGUUUACAAGCCACCAGUUGAGAAGCCUCCAGUUUACAAGCCACCAGUAGUGAAGCCACCUGUUUACAAGCCCCCAGUCUACAAGCCACCAGUAGUGAAGCCACCUGUAUACAAGCCUCCAGUCUACAAGCCACCCGUUUACAAGCCUCCAGUUGAGAAGCCUCCGGUCUACAAGCCACCUGUUUACAAGCCCCCAGUUGAGAAACCUCCAGUCUACAAGCCACCGGUUUACAAGCCUCCAGUCGAGAAGCCACCAGUUUACGGACCUCCUCACCACCCAUAGGACUCUCGGAUGCUUUUAAGUAAAUAAGUUAAAUAAGAGAUAUAUAAUGUUUCCAAAGCAAGGAUUAUAUAUUCUUGGAAU